ACGGGUGAGUAACACGUGGGUAACCUACCUCAUAGUGGGGGAUAACUAUUGGAAACGAUAGCUAAUACCGCAUAAUAUUAAUUAUUGCAUGAUAAUUGAUUAAAAGGUGCAAUUGCACCACUACCAGAUGGACCUGCGUUGUAUUAGCUAGUAGGUGAGGUAACGGCUCACCUAGGCGACGAUACAUAGCCGACCUGAGAGGGUGAUCGGCCACACUGGGACUGAGACACGGCCCAGACUCCUACGGGAGGCAGCAGUAGGGAAUCUUCGGCAAUGGACGAAAGUCUGACCGAGCAACGCCGCGUGAGUGAAGAAGGUUUUCGGAUCGUAAAGCUCUGUUGUAAGAGAAGAACGGGUGUGAGAGUGGAAAGUUCACACUGUGACGGUAUCUUACCAGAAAGGGACGGCUAACUACGUGCCAGCAGCCGCGGUAAUACGUAGGUCCCGAGCGUUGUCCGGAUUUAUUGGGCGUAAAGCGAGCGCAGGCGGUUAGAUAAGUCUGAAGUUAAAGGCUGUGGCUUAACCAUAGUACGCUUUGGAAACUGUUUAACUUGAGUGCAGAAGGGGAGAGUGGAAUUCCAUGUGUAGCGGUGAAAUGCGUAGAUAUAUGGAGGAACACCGGUGGCGAAAGCGGCUCUCUGGUCUGUAACUGACGCUGAGGCUCGAAAGCGCGGGGAGCGAACAGGAUUAGAUACCCU
This 698-nucleotide ribosomal RNA is filed under the name uncultured bacterium. RNAcentral describes it as "bacterial SSU rRNA". It matches the Rfam family "Bacterial small subunit ribosomal RNA", at positions 102 to 788 of the family's 1533-position model. The record is from RNAcentral.